Molecule: ribosomal RNA, 467 nt
Filed under: uncultured bacterium
Lineage: Bacteria
Description: partial 16S ribosomal RNA
Rfam family: Bacterial small subunit ribosomal RNA
Source: RNAcentral
GACGAACGCUGGCGGCGUGCUUAACACAUGCAAGUCGAACGGAAAGGCCCUGCUUUUGUGGGGUGCUCGAGUGGCGAACGGGUGAGUAACACGUGAGUAACCUGCCCUUGACUUUGGGAUAACUUCAGGAAACUGGGGCUAUACCGGAAAAGAGCCUCCGCUGCCAGGGGGGGGGUGGGAAGUUUCGGCGGUUGGGGAUGGACUCGCGGCUUAUCAGCUUGUUGGUGGGGGAGUGGCUUACCAAGGCUUUGACGGGUAGCCGGCCUGAGAGGGUGACCGGCCACAUUGGGACUGAGAUACGGCCCAGACUCCUACGGGAGGCAGCAGUGGGGAAUAUUGCACAAUGGGCGGAAGCCUGAUGCAGCAACGCCGCGUGCGGGAUGACGGCCUUCGGGUUGUAAACCGCUUUCGCCUGUGACGAAGCGUGAGUGACGGUAAUGGGUAAAGAAGCACCGGCUAACUACGUG